AUGCUGGGAAAGUGGUCUGCCAGGAAUGACGAAACAGCCCCGCUGCAGUCUGAGGGGUGGAUCUCAGCUACAACCAACAGAAAAUGGGAAAUUUCUCUUACUACAUGGAGUUUCAAGGUGAGGGACUUUGUUGCCAACAAGACCAAUGCCUCAGAACCUGUGACUCAGUUUUGGCUGGAGGUAGGGGACCCAGGCCUGGAGGAGCCAAGCUGCAGUGAGACUUCAAGGCAGCCACACAGUCCACCGCCAGGGUUCAACUGCACCUCCUCAGCCUCAGCUGAGCACCAAGGUUGUCUUCUUCAGGAAUGA
This 309-nucleotide long non-coding RNA is filed under the name Canis lupus familiaris (dog). Its description in RNAcentral is "lncRNA (ENSCAFG00030026168.1)". The record is from RNAcentral. Lineage: Eukaryota; Metazoa; Chordata; Mammalia; Carnivora; Canidae.